RNAcentral lists this ribosomal RNA (497 nucleotides) under uncultured bacterium. RNAcentral describes it as "partial 16S ribosomal RNA". It matches the Rfam family "Bacterial small subunit ribosomal RNA", at positions 28 to 507 of the family's 1533-position model. The record is from RNAcentral.
GACGAACGCUGGCGGCGUGCCUAAUACAUGCAAGUUGAGCGCUGAAGGUUGGUACUUGUACCAACUGGAUGAGCAGCGAACGGGUGAGUAACGCGUGGGUAAUCUGCCUUUGAGCGGGGGACAACAUUUGGAAACGAAUGCUAAUACCGCAUAAAAACUUUAAACACAAGUUUUAAGUUUGAAAGAUGCAAUUGCAUCACUCAAAGAUGAUCCCGCGUUGUAUUAGCUAGUUGGUGAGGUAAAGGCUCACCAAGGCGAUGAUACAUAGCCGACCUGAGAGGGUGAUCGGCCACAUUGGGACUGAGACACGGCCCAAACUCCUACGGGAGGCAGCAGUAGGGAAUCUUCGGCAAUGGACGAAAGUCUGACCGAGCAACGCCGCGUGAGUGAAGAAGGUUUUCGGAUCGUAAAACUCUGUUGGUAGAGAAGAACGUUGGUGAGAGUGGAAAGCUCGUCAAGUGACGGUAACUACCCAGAAAGGGACGGCUAACUACGUG